CCUACGGGGGGUAGCAGUGGGGAAUAUUGCACAAUGGGGGAAACCCUGAUGCAGCGACGCCGCGUGAGUGAAGAAGUAUUUCGGUACGUAAAGCUCUAUCAGCAGGGAAGAAAAUGACGGUACCUGACUAAGAAGCCCCGGCUAACUACGUGCCAGCAGCCGCGGUAAUACGUAGGGGGCAAGCGUUAUCCGGAUUUACUGGGUGUAAAGGGAGCGUAGACGGCAGCGCAAGUCUGGAGUGAAAUCCCAUGGCUUAACCAUGGAACUGCUUUGGAAACUGUGCAGCUAGAGUGCAGGAGAGGUAAGCGGAAUUCCUAGUGUAGCGGUGAAAUGCGUAGAUAUUAGGAGGAACACCAGUGGCGAAGGCGGCUUACUGGACUGUAACUGACGUUGAGGCUCGAAAGCGUGGGGAGCAAACAGGAUUAGAUACCCGAGUAGUC
Molecule: ribosomal RNA, 440 nt
Filed under: uncultured bacterium
Lineage: Bacteria
Description: partial 16S ribosomal RNA
Rfam family: Bacterial small subunit ribosomal RNA
Source: RNAcentral